This is a long non-coding RNA of Anolis carolinensis (green anole), 4198 nucleotides long. RefSeq lists it as uncharacterized. The transcript has 2 exons. Lineage: Eukaryota; Metazoa; Chordata; Lepidosauria; Squamata; Anolidae. The record is from RefSeq and is a predicted model, not a curated record.
UCCGAGGAAAGUUUGAGGAGAAAGGCUUGCCGUGUCCGCCCUACCUGAUCUGAAUUUGCUCCGAAUCAGCAUUGAAUGCUCAGACCCCAGGAGAGUCAUGGUGAUGUGGAGCUGCCCGGAGGUGGUGCUGGUGGUGGGCUUCACUCUGAGCCACUCGCUCUCGACUAUCAACAGGCUCCGGCUUAACUCUUUCCACCGGACGCAGUUGGAGAGACCACGGCGGCGAAGAAGAGGCAGCCCCAGGACGAGCAGGAGGCGGCUUUGAGCACUCGCAUCGGAAAAAGCAGCCCUGGCCUGAACAUCGGGAGACUUUUCGGAGGCUCGGCCUUUGCUUUCAGGCAGGCAAGGCGAGCUUAGGCCCUUCAGGUGUUUUGGCCUCCAACUCCCACAAUUCCUAACAGCCUACCGGCCGGGUUGCUAUGAGUUUUCCGGGCUGUACGGCGCUCCAUGCAGUCAUGCUGGCCACAUGACCUUGGAGGUGUCUAAGGACAACGCCGGCUCUUCGGCUUAGAAAUGGAGAUGAGCACCAAACCCCAGAGUCAGACAUGACUGGACUUAACGUCAGGGGAAGCCUUUACCUUUACCUAUGGCCAUGUUCCAGAAGCAUUCUCUCCAGACGUUUCGCCUGCAUCUAUGGCAGGCAUCCUCAGGGGUUGUGAGGUCUGUUGGAAACUAGAGAACAGGAGAAUUCCAGACAGAAAACAAUCAGGGCCAGCCAACACCGCCUAACAAAGGAUUCCCCCAGGCAGUAAGCAGCCAGUCCUUGAAGCUUCAAGGCCAUUAAUUGCUAACCAAGGUGGCCAAUUGCUACAUUAACACUUAUACAAAAACCUUUAUUUAUAUACCGCUCCAUUUCCUCAAGAGGACCCAGGACGGUUUCCAACAAGUGUACAAAAACAGUCAACUGUCAGAAACAUCAUACAACAACUUAAACAUAGUAAACAAAUAAAACAACAUCAUCAGAACAAAACCAAAACAAUUAUAUUGAAAUGGACAUAGUUAUAAAUCCAAUCAGAUAUAAUCCAUCAGGAAUCAAGUACCCGUGAUCAGGGCUUCGAGGUAGAUAUUUCAAACAGACAAGAGUACUUUCUCUCACCCUGGACGUUCCACAGAUACAGUAGAGUCUCACUUAUCCAACAUAAAUGGGCUGGCAGAACGUUGGAUAAGUGAAAAUGUUGGAUAAUGGGGAGGGAUUAAGGAAAAGCCUAUUAAAAGUCAAAUUACAUUAUGAUUUUACAAAUUAAGCACCAAAAACAUCAUGCUUUACAACAAAUCGACAGAAAAAGCAGUUCAAUACACAGUAACGUUAUGUAGUAAUUACUGUAUUUAUGAAUUCAGCACCAAAACAUCGCAAUAUAUUGAAAACAUAGACUAAAAAAAAAUUGUCUACUAACAAAUUAACUACAAAUAAAGAUAGAAUUGCAUAAAAUAAACGUAUAGUAGCAACAUUGUCGGGAAUUAAAUCCAUAAAAAGUUCAAUCCUUGCUGCCUAAAGAAACAGCUGUGGAUCAGGGUGGGAGGCAAACUGUGUUGGAAUAGAAUGUUGGAUAAGCAAAUGUUGGAUAAGUGAGAAUCUAUUGUAUAUAAACCCAUCUUGCCUAGUUUCCAACAGACCUCACAACCUCUGAGGAUGCCUGCCAUAGAUGCAGAAGAGAAUGCUUCUGAAACAUGGUCAUACAGGCCGGAAAACUCACAGCAACCCAGUGAUUCCAGCCAUGAAAGCCUUCAACAGCCUACUGGCUGUUAGGAAUUAUGGGCGUUGGAGUCAAAAACACCUAGAUGGCCGAAGUUUGCCAAAUGCCUGCCUUAAGGUGACUCUCGUGAUAGUGACAAAUUGCCUUCCCAUUAAUCACAGACACAGAAACGUAAUAAUAAUAAUAAUAAUAAUAAUAAUAAUAAUAAUAAUAAUAACAACAAUAUCUGAGCCUUAGCUUUGCAGCAAAAAGCUUAGCAGUUCAAGCUCACAAGGAGAGAGGUGUUUAUUUUUUUCAAUCCAGAAAGACUGUAAAUUGCAAGAGUAUGCUCAUGCUUAAAUAUCAUCAUCCAUACUCCACCCACUCCAUCCCAACUGUCUAUUAAAAUGGGCAGUCUGUGACCCUCUGGGUGCUGCAGGACAGCAACUUCUUUCACUCCAGUUGGUAGGAACAGAAGUACAGUAGAGUCUCACUUAUCCAACAUAAAUGGGCCAACAGAAUGUUGGAUAAGCGAAUAUGUUGGAUAACGAGGGAUUAAGGAAAAGCCUAUUAAACAUCAAGUUAGAUUAUGAUUUUACAAAUGAAGCACCAAAACAUCAUGUUAGACAACAAAUUUGACAGAAAAGGUAGUUCAAUAUACAGUAAUGCUGUAAUUACUGUAUUUACAAAUUUAGCACCAAAAUAUCAUGAUGUAUUGAAAACAUCAACUACAAAAAUGCAUUGGAUAAUCCAGAACGUUGGAUAAGUGAACGUUGGAUAAGUGAGACUCUACUGUAUAAUCAUUCUCUAGAUCAGGCAUGAGCAAACUUCAGCCCUCUAGGUGUUUUGGACUUCAGAAAUCUCAGCCAGAUGACCAACUAUUUGGAAUUGUGGAAGUUGAAGUCCAAAACACCUGGAGAGCUGAAGUUUGCCCAUGUCCGAUUUAGAGAUAAGUACAUUAUUUGCCAUUAAUUUAAAGGACAGCAUUCCAUAACUAACUCCUAGCCACUGAGGAAGUUGCUUUGACAGUGCUGUAAGUAUUGUUUCUUCAAAAUAGUUAUACAGUGUUCCCUCACUUAUCGCGGGGGUUAGGUUCCAGGACCACCCGCAAUAAGUGAAAAUCUGUGAAGUAAGGACGCUAUAUAUUUAUACAUUAUUUUAGCAGAUAUACACUAUUUUAAGUCUUUAUCAACCAAUUGUGUUUUGAUAAAUCACCUCCUUCUCUUCCCGUUGCCACUUGGGCUCCUUUUCUCAUCUUUUGGAUUCUCCUUCCUCCCUUCCUUAGGCUGUAAAUUGAAUUUUUUAAUGAUUUAUCUCUUAGAGUUUAUUGAAAAACUGCGAAACAGCGAAUCCGCAAAAAGUAAAUUGUGAAGUAGUGAGGGAACACUAUAUAGUUUUUGUAAAAAACCAAAUUGGACUGUGCACCCCAUGUUUCUGUGUCAAGGUGCCCAUGGAACCUGUUUCAGACCUUAUUAUGUGGAACCAAAGGGUUUUUAUUUUGUGUCAAAAGCAUUGCAUAAAUAAGUAUAAAACUGAUUAAGAUGGAGGGAACACAAACGGCUAAAUAAUUUUUGACAAAAAACAGGCAACAACAAUUGCAUUGUCUGCAGCUUUCAACAAUUCUUCCUCUGUAUAUGAGGCAGGUCAUUGUGGGCAAGCAUACAGGUGCUGAGUUGUUUGUUCUGCUCCACCGUCGCACAAGGAGGAUUUUUCUAGGCAGUGCCAUUUUGCCAGGUUGUCUUUUGAUCUGCCCACUCUGCUUCUGAGUCUGUUCAGGAUCUUGCCCAUUCUUGGUUUGCCCCUGAAGGAAGACCCUCGUGGGGGGGGGGGGGAUCCAAUUGGGAUUUCCUGGUUUAGCUGCCCAGAGGGAUACUCUCUUGCUGUUGCUGGGGGAAGAUGGGAUGUUGUUUUCCACCACACUUGAGUCUGCAGACUAGUUUAAGGGACCCAGAGCAUUAUUCUCAUAGAGAUUUCAGGAGUAACACAUAGAAAACAAUAACUACUGCCCCUCAAGUAACUACUGUUUGUUGCAGUCUUUUCCAUCUGAAAAAUGGUAGCACUGGUCCUAUGUGAAACAUUCCUUCCCCUACAUAGUAAACUAAUGGCUGACUUUUCAUGGUUUAAAAUAAUUGUUUUAAUGUGAAGAUAACUGAUUUUAGUGUUUAUGCAUAUUUAUAGUUUAUUUUAUGUUCCGGCAUCGAAUGUUUGCCGUAUAUAUGUUGUGCUCUGCCCUGAGUCCCCUUCAGGGUGGGAAGGGCAGAAUAUAAAUCUUUUAAAUAAAUAACUGGAGCAACUACCUUUCACAGUUGGCAACUGGGUUUCACAAUUGUGGAAUCAGCCAGCAGGCAAGGACACUUCUGUUUAAACAGACCUUUAAACCCAUGUAGCCAGAGGGUCUUUUAAUUAGCUGAGUUGUGUUUUUAUCCCUUCCAUUAAAUGUAUGCUUUAAACUAUGCUUUUAAUAAAAUUGUAUUUUUGCCUUUUUUUAUAUAUACAAUAAAAUUUUAGUUGUGUCUUUGUUUAAA